RNAcentral lists this ribosomal RNA (253 nucleotides) under uncultured bacterium. RNAcentral describes it as "partial 16S ribosomal RNA". It matches the Rfam family "Bacterial small subunit ribosomal RNA", at positions 524 to 776 of the family's 1533-position model. The record is from RNAcentral.
UACGGAGGGUGCGAGCGUUGUCCGGAAUCACUGGGCGUAAAGGGCGCGUAGGUGGCGCGGGAAGUCAACGGUGAAAGUUCAGGGCUCAACCCUGAAUCGGCCGUCGAUACUCCCGGGCUUGAGCACUGUAGGGGCAGGUGGAAUUCCGGGUGUAGCGGUGGAAUGCGUAGAGAUCCGGAAGAACACCGGUGGCGAAGGCGGCCUGCUGGGCAGUAGCUGACGCUGAUGCGCGACAGCGUGGGGAGCAAACAGG